GCGCGAGUGGCGGAAUUGGCAGACGCGCCAGAUUUAGGAUCUGGUGCUCUAGGGCGUGGAGGUUCAAGUCCUCUCUCGCGUACCA
Molecule: transfer RNA, 85 nt
Filed under: Verrucomicrobiota bacterium
Lineage: Bacteria; Pseudomonadati; Verrucomicrobiota
Description: Verrucomicrobia bacterium tRNA-Leu
Rfam family: tRNA
About the family: Transfer RNA (tRNA) molecules are approximately 80 nucleotides in length. Their secondary structure includes four short double-helical elements and three loops (D, anti-codon, and T loops).
Source: RNAcentral